CCAGCCCUGUUUAACAGCUUAUUGCAAAAGAAAAAAAAAAAAAAGCUGAAAGUGAAAGUAAGAGCAGUUUCGCCAGUAGACACAGAGUUAAAAGGAGAGUCCCAGGAACAGCAAGAGAAGUCAGUUUUGUAGGAGCCGCCAGAGAUUCAUCACAGUCAGCUAACACUGGCAGCUCAGGACAAAUAGACCAGCCAGCAGGACGCAGAUCAUCCAAUCCAGCUGAUCCUGAGACGAGACCAAGCUUCUGCUGAGGACAACAGCCCUGCUCUGGUCACUCUGCAGGCUGACCAGUUUACACACGGCUGAAGCUUGAGGACUUGUCAAGCAAGUCACCUUCCCCACGCUUGCUCGAUUUAUCAUGACCCUUUCAUGUGGACCCCUUAAAGUUGUAAGCCUUUAAAAAGGCCAAGAAUUUAUUUUUCAGGGAGCUGAGUUCUUAAGAUGCAAGUCUGCCGAUGCUCCUGGCUGAAUAAACCUCUUCCUUCUUUAAU
Molecule: non-coding RNA, 491 nt
Organism: Chlorocebus sabaeus (green monkey)
Lineage: Eukaryota; Metazoa; Chordata; Mammalia; Primates; Cercopithecidae
Source: RefSeq, a predicted model, not a curated record